RNAcentral lists this ribosomal RNA (1478 nucleotides) under Demequina mangrovi. Its description in RNAcentral is "16S ribosomal RNA". It matches the Rfam family "Bacterial small subunit ribosomal RNA". The record is from RNAcentral. Lineage: Bacteria; Bacillati; Actinomycetota; Actinomycetes; Micrococcales; Demequinaceae.
GACGAACGCUGGCGGCGUGCUUAACACAUGCAAGUCGAACGGUGACGAAAGAGCUUGCUUUUUCUGAUCAGUGGCGAACGGGUGAGUAACACGUGAGUAACCUGCCCCAGACUCUGGGAUAACCUCGGGAAACCGGGGCUAAUACCGGAUAUGACACUCCACCGCAUGGUGAGGGUGUGGAAAGUUUUUCGGUCUGGGAUGGACUCGCGGCCUAUCAGCUUGUUGGUGAGGUAAUGGCUCACCAAGGCGACGACGGGUAGCCGGCCUGAGAGGGCGACCGGCCACACUGGAACUGAGACACGGUCCAGACUCCUACGGGAGGCAGCAGUGGGGAAUAUUGCACAAUGGGCGCAAGCCUGAUGCAGCGACGCCGCGUGGGGGAUGAAGGCCUUCGGGUUGUAAACCCCUUUCAGCAGGGAAGAAGCGAAAGUGACGGUACCUGCAGAAGAAGCGCCGGCUAACUACGUGCCAGCAGCCGCGGUAAUACGUAGGGCGCAAGCGUUGUCCGGAAUUAUUGGGCGUAAAGAGCUCGUAGGCGGUCUGUCGCGUCUGCUGUGAAAUCCCGAGGCUCAACCUCGGGCCUGCAGUGGGUACGGGCAGACUAGAGUGUGGUAGGGGAGACUGGAAUUCCUGGUGUAGCGGUGGAAUGCGCAGAUAUCAGGAGGAACACCGAUGGCGAAGGCAGGUCUCUGGGCCACAACUGACGCUGAGGAGCGAAAGCGUGGGGAGCGAACAGGAUUAGAUACCCUGGUAGUCCACGCCGUAAACGGUGGGCACUAGAUGUGGGGCUCUUUCCAUGAGUUCCGCGUCGCAGCUAACGCAUUAAGUGCCCCGCCUGGGGAGUACGGCCGCAAGGCUAAAACUCAAAGGAAUUGACGGGGGCCCGCACAAGCGGCGGAGCAUGCGGAUUAAUUCGAUGCAACGCGAAGAACCUUACCAAGGCUUGACAUAUACCCUCUACCCCCAGAGAUGGGGGGUGCUUCGGCGGGGUAUACAGGUGGUGCAUGGUUGUCGUCAGCUCGUGUCGUGAGAUGUUGGGUUAAGUCCCGCAACGAGCGCAACCCUCGUCCUAUGUUGCCAGCACGUAAUGGUGGGGACUCAUAGGAGACUGCCGGGGUCAACUCGGAGGAAGGUGGGGAUGACGUCAAAUCAUCAUGCCCCUUAUGUCUUGGGCUUCACGCAUGCUACAAUGGCCGGUACAAUGGGCUGCGAUACCGUAAGGUGGAGCGAAUCCCAAAAAGCCGGUCUCAGUUCGGAUUGAGGUCUGCAACUCGACCUCAUGAAGUCGGAGUCGCUAGUAAUCGCAGAUCAGCAACGCUGCGGUGAAUACGUUCCCGGGCCUUGUACACACCGCCCGUCAAGUCACGAAAGUCGGUAACACCCGAAGCCAGUGGCCCAACUCGUAAGAGGGGGAGCUGUCUAAGGUGGGAUUGGCGAUUGGGACUAAGUCGUAACAAGGUAGCCGUACCGGAAGGUGC